GCCGAUGUAGCUCAGUUGGUAGAGCAAUGCUUUCGUAAAGCAGAGGUCGUGGGUUCGACUCCCACCAUCGGCU
RNAcentral lists this transfer RNA (73 nucleotides) under bacterium. Its description in RNAcentral is "tRNA-Thr". It matches the Rfam family "tRNA". From Rfam's summary of the family: Transfer RNA (tRNA) molecules are approximately 80 nucleotides in length. Their secondary structure includes four short double-helical elements and three loops (D, anti-codon, and T loops). Further hydrogen bonds mediate the characteristic L-shaped molecular structure. tRNAs have two regions of fundamental functional importance: the anti-codon, which is responsible for specific mRNA codon recognition, and the 3' end, to which the tRNAs corresponding amino acid is attached (by aminoacyl-tRNA synthetases). tRNAs cope with the degeneracy of the genetic code in two manners: having more than one tRNA (with a specific anti-codon) for a particular amino acid; and 'wobble' base-pairing, i.e. permitting non-standard base-pairing at the 3rd anti-codon position. The record is from RNAcentral.